RNAcentral lists this transfer RNA (72 nucleotides) under Marmota marmota marmota (Alpine marmot). It matches the Rfam family "tRNA". From Rfam's summary of the family: Transfer RNA (tRNA) molecules are approximately 80 nucleotides in length. Their secondary structure includes four short double-helical elements and three loops (D, anti-codon, and T loops). RNAcentral also lists the same sequence under 4 other names. Lineage: Eukaryota; Metazoa; Chordata; Mammalia; Rodentia; Sciuridae. The record is from Rfam by way of RNAcentral.
GGGGUUGUGGCUCAGUGGUAGAGCGCUUGCCUAGCAUGUGUGAGACACUGGGUUCCAGUCUUAGCACCACUU